AAGUCGUAACAAGGUUUCCGUAGGUGAACCUGCGGAAGGAUCAUUACACAAUAUUUACGGGGGGCCGGACCCAAGUCUGUCUUCAAACCGCAGCUUGACCCGCCCUGUCUGAUAUUUUACCCAUGUCUUUUGCGUACUUUAUUGUUUCCUUGGUAGGCUUGCCUGCCGACAGGACAACCAUUUAAACCUUUUUGUAAUUGCAAUCAGCGUCAGAAAAAAAUUUUAAUAGUUACAA
This 235-nucleotide unclassified non-coding RNA is filed under the name plant metagenome. Its description in RNAcentral is "partial contains small subunit ribosomal RNA and internal transcribed spacer 1". The stretch from base 1 to 46 matches the Rfam family "Eukaryotic small subunit ribosomal RNA", at positions 1786 to 1831 of the family's 1831-position model. The record is from RNAcentral.